This 602-nucleotide ribosomal RNA is filed under the name Trichoderma asperellum. Its description in RNAcentral is "eukaryotic LSU rRNA". The stretch from base 214 to 367 matches the Rfam family "5.8S ribosomal RNA". Lineage: Eukaryota; Fungi; Ascomycota; Sordariomycetes; Hypocreales; Hypocreaceae. The record is from RNAcentral.
UCCGUAGGUGAACCUGCGGAGGGAUCAUUACCGAGUUUACAACUCCCAAACCCAAUGUGAACGUUACCAAACUGUUGCCUCGGCGGGGUCACGCCCCGGGUGCGUCGCAGCCCCGGAACCAGGCGCCCGCCGGAGGAACCAACCAAACUCUUUCUGUAGUCCCCUCGCGGACGUAUUUCUUACAGCUCUGAGCAAAAAUUCAGAAUGAAUCAAAACUUUCAACAACGGAUCUCUUGGUUCUGGCAUCGAUGAAGAACGCAGCGAAAUGCGAUAAGUAAUGUGAAUUGCAGAAUUCAGUGAAUCAUCGAAUCUUUGAACGCACAUUGCGCCCGCCAGUAUUCUGGCGGGCAUGCCUGUCCGAGCGUCAUUUCAACCCUCGAACCCCUCCGGGGGAUCGGCGUUGGGGAUCGGGACCCCUCACACGGGUGCCGGCCCCGAAAUACAGUGGCGGUCUCGCCGCAGCCUCUCCUGCGCAGUAGUUUGCACAACUCGCACCGGGAGCGCGGCGCGUCCACGUCCGUAAAACACCCAACUUUCUGAAAUGUUGACCUCGGAUCAGGUAGGAAUACCCGCUGAACUUAAGCAUAUCAAUAAGCGGAGAA